RNAcentral lists this transfer RNA (75 nucleotides) under marine sediment metagenome. Its description in RNAcentral is "tRNA-Thr". It matches the Rfam family "tRNA". From Rfam's summary of the family: Transfer RNA (tRNA) molecules are approximately 80 nucleotides in length. Their secondary structure includes four short double-helical elements and three loops (D, anti-codon, and T loops). The record is from RNAcentral.
GCCCCGGUGGUGUAACAGGCAGCACACCGCCGUCGUAACGCGGAGAUGUCGGAUCGUAACCGACCUGGGGCUCCA